CAUAUGGUUAUAUAAUUUAGAAUUGUAUGUGUAUGUAUAUUAGAUUAACUUUAAAAAUUAAAAAUUUUUAAUAAUCAUGUCCUCAACUUCUUAUGUGAAUCAUAAGAAUUGUGAUUGGCCUUUGACCUGUUUUUGGCUUCAGCCAAAGGAGGAAAUGAGAAAAGGAAUCUACUCAUGGACAGAACCUAGUAUGUCCCCACAUUUAAGGCUUACCUCAGCUAGUUUCAUUUUUACAGAGUAAGGGUAAAAUCAAAGACUGCUAUUAUAUUGCAUCCUACUUUACUAGCUUAACAAGGAAGGUAAAAGAUAAGAUUAUUCUAAAACCUAAGUUGAUCAACACUUGCUUCCCCGCUGGAGAUGAGCAGAGCUUCCUAAUGUGGAGGGACACAUUGGAAGUGAUGACAUUGGUAAGGGCUGCUAUUGGCUGGGAGGCAACAUACCCCAGGACCCUUGCCACCCUAGCUCUGCCUAAUACGUUAAUUGACACAAAGUUAGUUUAACCUGCUUUCACCCCUUGCAUAUAUAUAUGGCAACUGAUGUUUUUAAAAAAAUUUUCAAAUGUGGGGGACACCUGGGUGGCUCAGUGGCUAAGCCUUUGCCUUUGGCUCAGGUCGUGAUCCCAGAAUCCUGGGAUUGAGUCCCACAUUGGGCUCCCCACAGGGAGCCUGCUUCUCCCUCUGUCUGUGUCUCUGUGUCUCUCAUGAAUAAAUAAAUUAAAUAUUUAAAUUUUUUUUUAAAAAUUUCAAAUGUAAGCCUAUUAGUAAUAGAUGUAACACUAUUAAAUUGAAAAAUAUUAGAUAUAUGCCCCUUAAUAUUGGCUGUGGAAUAAAAUGAAUAGGAGCCUGAGAAGAUUUACACUGUGGUCCUGUCUUUACUAGUAAAUAGGGUUAAUCCUUGGAAAUGCAAAUCCAUCAUUUGUUGAGCUUAAUGUCUUUUUCUGUAAAGUUAGGAGGUUAAACAUAUAAUUAAAUUAACACUAAUAUUCUAAUAUACUGUGUACACAGUGUUAUUUGAAGCUUUGGGCAAUCCUAUGGCUCAAGAUCAAAUGCUCUCUAAGGUUUUUUCAAGUUUAAAACUGGUACUUAUAGCAAAUAAGUUGCAGUUCAUUUUUCUAUCACUUUCCUUCAACAAACAUAUUCAUCAUCACCUUUUUCAAAAACCUUGCUACAGAGCAGACACAUACUCUGCUGUGAACUGUUAUGUGAAUGGUAAUGAACUCCUUGAAUUACCACCUUUCCACUUAAAAUGAGACACCUCCUACCUUAUCACAGCCAUGUGUGUAAAUAUCCACGAACAGAGAAAUCAGCAAACACGUCGAGAAAAGUUCUGGUCUAUAAAAAACAAAGCAAGUAGGCAAAGAAAGAGAAUGUGAAAUCAGGCUAUUUAUUCUUGAAAUCUAUAGGAUAUUCAACUAAUUUGGAUGGAUAAGAUUUAUCUUGUUCACUAAAUCAGCAAAAUGCAAAGGGCUUCACAUUUGAUUUUUAAAAAUAGAUGUCCUUUUUAGGUUUUCCUGUUGCUGGGGAAGUGUUCUUUCUGUUGCUAACAGAGCUAAAUGUUCUGCUUUGAAUGGGAAAUGUUUGUUUUUAUUGGGAGGAGUAGCAGAAGGAUGAAUGAAGGAAUCCAUUUUUUUUUUUAAACUGUGUUUCUGUAAGUGAGAUGUCUGCCUUCUGGGUAAAGGCAUAUGAUUGGUUAUUUACCAGAGAAUCCUUUAAUAGGAUCAUGAAAUUUGUCUAUUUGUUUACAUGUUAUUUUAUUCACUAAAGCUUAAAUGGGUUAACUAUUCAAAUUGUAAAGAUCACAGGGCUGUAGAAUUAAUAUUGAAACAUUUAUUACCUCUGAACCCUCAGUGGUUAGAAGGUACAAAGAAGAAAUUUAUCAUUUUUACAUUUUUUGCCUGGUAUAAUUUAGCUUCCAAAAAAGGGGUAAGGGAAGAAAUAGAUGAGAUCUGGCUUUCUCUUCAAAUCUUAGGAUCAUAUAAUUAAAAUACCAACCAUCUUGCUCUUCACCUUUAUAUAUUAUUGUUUGCACUCUUUGGGGCAGGAAACUAGUGGAGGAAAUAUCACAGGCAAGCAAAUAUGUAUAAAAUAUUACCUUAGUAUAUACAGUGCUUAAAGCUGCAUGGAAAAAAAAUGGCCAUUCUGGCUAUCCUCAGCUUAAGAAUUAUAGAAUUAUUUUUAAUGUAAUUUUGUUAACCCAAAAUUAAGUUCUAUAUUAUCAGUAUCUUAAUUGUGUUGUAAUACUCUGUGAAAGACUGUUGAUUUCCUAAACAAGAGCUUUUACUUUGUUUCAGCUGUGUCUGAUUAAUUCAUCAAAUGUAUUCUUCAUGCCAGAAAUUUUGGUUUCACUGAAACUCUAUGAUGUGAAAAUGUAAUUGAGUUUCUGUCUUCCAAAUUUUAUUUUUGUCUUUAGAAGCAAGUUGUUAAUCUAUGAACCAUUAGCUUUUGAGAAAGGGAAUAUUUCAUAAUAUCUCUCUAAAUCAUUCUAUGGCUGUAUUGACCUACUCAUUUCAUUUUCCUCUGGGCAUUGAGAAAGAUUACAAAUCCUGCCUAUGUAGGUGGGGUCAUGUAACUAGCUCAGGUCAAUGGAAUGUGGCAAUCCUCCUCUUUCUCCACUUUCGGAGGUGCCCUUGGGUGCUGUUUGAGAUAACAAACACUUGAGAUGGAAGGAACCAUACAAGAGAACCCAUCUACUAGAUCAAAAAAGAAAAAGAUGUUUGGACUUUGCAUGACUGACAAGUUCUUUUACAGUUGUGGGUUGUUGUUGCCACACCUAGCAAUACAUAUCCCAAAUAAAACACUUUGUAACUACUUACUGAUAGUAGAAAGUAUGUAACCGAAGAAAUUCUCUCUCUCUUCUGCCCCUCUGCUUCCAGAAUGCAGGGACUGUUUUAAGUGUUGGUACUUAAGUCAAUCCUUAAUAGUUACACCAGAUUUUAGGGAGGACUACUUCAUCAAAUCAUGACCUGGGAAUUACAGAUUGAAUGGCCACACACAUACAUACACACGCACACAGAUUUCUGGGAGAGAGGUGCAAAGGCUGAAGACUGAAGACUCUGCCCCAUCUUUCUGGUCUACUCAGAAAAGAAAACCAUGAAAGUUCAUGGAAGAGGAAAAAGAGUGAAUAAGAGACAGGCAUGAACCAGAAUGAAGGACAAGCUGCUCUUAAAGAACGGAGUCUUUCCAGGGAGUUCUAGUAGCCAUUAUCCAAGGAUGUGGAGAAUUGGGAACUAGGAGGUAAUAAAGCCAGCUGUUUGACUCAGGAAUUGCAUCAAAGAAUGACUGGUUGAUUGGACUAUGGGGCAAGUUUUGCCUGGAGAUGUCUUCAGGCACUCACUCCUCACCCUGAUGGAAAGAGUCUCCCACACUGUAAAUUCACUCGGGAACAGAGGGACUAAUUGUUACUACACAGCGCCUCUGUGCCAGGCUAAUCUCUAGUUGCUAACGAAUCCUCAUGAUCACAGGCUCUCUCUGAGCUUUCUGGAACUGAAAGGGAUGACCUGUGAUCUGUAAGCACCAGUUAGAACAAACCACAAGGCACAAAUUGUGUACUAACUUCAACAGCAGGCCCAUUUUGCUGAAGUACGCGGACAUUUAGAAGAUAAGACCAGAGUUGAUUUGCAAAGUCCCAUUUUUGAUGGUGCAGAUGGCAAAUACUCUGCCUCCCUUGCCACAGAAGUGGCCAUGGAACUUGCACUUAAUUGAUUUGAGUAGCAGUGAUUAGUGAAUUUACAAGCAACAAAAGCAGAGAUAGAGUCCCUUUCUGGCUUUGAUACUAUGAAUCCUCAGGAUUGGUGUUUUUCCUGGGGUUACUAAGCAAAAUCUGCUGGUAGGUAUGUUCUCUACCACAUAAAGAAGGUGUUUCUGCAGAGCAAGAGAAAAUGAGAUUACUUUGUCAAGAGAAGCAGAGGCAAGCAGAGAUGAUCAGCAGAAAUAAUAUGUUCUGGUGAUGUCAAAUUUCCAGAUCCAGUUCUUCCUAUAGGCAUUACUUUCUACAGCCAUUUCAUUUAUGUGAAUUAUCAAUAUCUUCCUAGAUACAUGUACCGAUACGUUUAUCUUUACUUUAAGAUAAUAUAAACUGAUUUUCUCUUUACUUGUAA
Molecule: long non-coding RNA, 4096 nt
Organism: Canis lupus familiaris (dog)
Lineage: Eukaryota; Metazoa; Chordata; Mammalia; Carnivora; Canidae
Exons: 3
Source: RefSeq, a predicted model, not a curated record